GAUGAGAGGUGAAGAAUUUAUCCAUCGACCCUUGUCUUCCGUCAGCCAAGGGUGGCCUCAGGAGCACCAACCUCCCUGUUCGCCCCAGCUCUGCAUUCUGCAAGCCUGAGCACCUCGUGGUCCCUGUUUCCUGAGGCAUCAGGGAGUGUUCUUGUGACUGAGAAGGCCAGAGACGCAGUGAGAAAGAACAGUGCCAUAUUUGGAAUCUGCUAGUCUGCUUCAAAUCUGAGUUUGACCAGCAAUGAUGCGUCCACAGGACACUGGAGAUUGGCCAAUAUAACAAUAUAUGACAUUUUUGGAAUUUCUCACCUUGGCUCCCUUGAAAAUAUUUGGAUACAGGUCCUUCUCCAGACUUCAGACAACUCUGAAAAUCCAAGUCUGUUGCUAGAAGAUAUCUCACCCUAAGAACACAUAAUUUUGGUGCCCUAAUUUUAUAUGAGGUUAUGCUUAGUCAGCAGAACUUCCCAGCACCUAUACCA
Cercocebus atys (sooty mangabey) is the source of this 479-nucleotide long non-coding RNA. RefSeq lists it as uncharacterized. The record is from RefSeq and is a predicted model, not a curated record. The transcript is spliced from 5 exons. NCBI's taxonomy places the organism in Eukaryota, Metazoa, Chordata, Mammalia, Primates, Cercopithecidae.